Molecule: long non-coding RNA, 2323 nt
Organism: Cyanistes caeruleus (blue tit)
Lineage: Eukaryota; Metazoa; Chordata; Aves; Passeriformes; Paridae
Source: Ensembl
UUUCAGAUGCUGGCAGAUAAGGUCUGUAAACAACUUGUCUAAUAAAUCACCAUUUUUAAAAUGCUGCUCUCCAGAGGUGCAACCAUGGUCCUAAGAAAGGGUCUUGCCUUGUGCAAACCUUUGAAGGAACCUUUUUCUUUCCAGAAAUUUUUCUCACUACAAACUCAGUUCCGAGUUAAAGGAAUGUUUCCUAAAUUUUCCACAAAUAAUCAGUUAUCUGCCCAGCCAUGGAGUUUUUCUACUAUUGUCUGCCCAGAUGAAAAUAUUCUCUGCAGCUGCCUGCUUGUGCUUUGUGUACAAUGUCUAAGGAAGUACCACCAUACCCAGGGUUAGCAAAUACAGGACAUUUAUCUCCUUUUUCCCUCUGGUCAGUUUUGUUACCUUUUUUCCAGGAAGAAAAGUCCAGUCUCAUGAUUUUGCUAAUUUGAGUUCACUUUAAAUGGUUCAGUCUCUAACGACUGAAUCACAUCUUAUUGCCAGUGUGCUGAGUGAGGAGCACCAAAAGCCAGGAUUUUUUUCCUAAGGCAUAUAUGAAUGGGCUUCUCAUAAUUUCCUCAAGCUGCCAUACCAGCAGCAGAAGGGGAAGACAUUCCCACAGCCCUGUACACUUGUUUUGUGUAGCAAAGCCACACCUACUCUAUGCCAUGGCAGACUUGGGUGAAAUUGCUUCCAAGCCCAUGAUGUGUAUCCUUCAUGGGUUAAGAUGUUGAGAACCCCCAGCCCCAUUAGGCUUCAGCAUUCUGUGCAACCUGUCUCUAAGAGGGGUUGAGUUUCAGUGGUGUGAGUGGGGAUGGCACUGUAUAUUCUUCACUCUGUGAAGAAACAACACUCCCUUGAGGGAUUUAGUGGGAUUUUCCUUGUUAAUAAUGUGCCUUUUACGUAUGUUUGUGCUUAGGUACAAACUCAGAAGAGCACAGCUCUACUUUUUACAUUUUUACAGAGAGUUUGGACAAUAUCAACUUUCUUCCCAUCGCAUAAGUUCUUGUGAGUUUUUAACAAGGAACUUGGGUGAAACUCUUUCCUGUCAAAAAUCUCACUUUGCCUAAAUCAGCAGCUGAAAUAUAACUUCUACAGCCUCAUGGGGUGUUGCAUCCCCCACCCCCACACCUCACACCUCUCCCCUCCUAACCACACUAUGUUCUCAGGAAUGCUUGUUACUCAGCUCUCAUUAAUUGAUGAAACCUGGGCAGUUACCUCCCUUUGAGCUUAUCACAAACACUGCUCCUAGAACUUCUCUUGCCUAAUGAGCUUCUUUUCUAAUAAGCAGCCUUGAGACUUUAUUUUUCUGUCUGAACAACAGAUUGAGUAAGUUGAUUUUGUUAUUGAGCUUUCUGAGGAAAAUCCCAGUAAUUACUGACCCAGAUUGUGGCCAGGGUAGAAAUUUAAGAAUGACUAAAGCCCAGCAUCUUGAGGCCCGACAAAGAGCAGUGCUAAGUGAGGCCCUUUAGCCUCUCCUGAACCACUGUGGGCACUAUACUCUUGAGUGGACUCCUCUCAGAGCUCACCAAAUCUCCAGUUUGCUAUAUGCAAUCAACUGCUGCUGAAAGCUGGUGAUGAAGCCUGAGCCCAAGUCCCUACUCCCUGAGGAUCAACUCUGCCCAUCGAGAAGAUGAAAAGGCUUCCAACAUGAGAAUUUCACUGAACUCAAGGGGAAUUUUUCAUAGGUAUACCUUUGCACAUGCUUCUUUAUGUCUGUGUACAUGCACAUUAAAAAUGUUGUAUUUUGAGGUUCAUAAUUGCAUUUAUAAUUAAAUAUUAAAAGUUGUGUUAAACUUAUGGUUAAGUUAGAUUUAUGGUUAAAUUACUGUUUCACUUACAGAAGAUUCUAUUGAACCAUUCUGUGGGUGUUAGAUUAGUCAACUGAUGCAGUGCUGCUCUAAUGGUGUGGAUUGGAUAUUGUUAUGAUUUAGUGUUGCUGAAUCCUUUAGACCUAAACUGCUGAUCUAGUCUGAGAUUAAGUUUGGCAGAGGGGUUUAUUCAAAACCUUGUAACUCAAUGGGAGGGUCUCCCUUUCACUUUUCCUUCCUUACCCUUUUUGUGCCUGGUCUCCACAUAAACCACUCUAGACUGCUUUGAAUCUGGUUUCUCUUGGGGGGCAUUAUCUACACAGUAAGCAAUAGAGUGGACCUUGCCAUUGAACUUCUUCAAAUUUGUAUUAAACCUGCUUUUGCUGAUACCUCACCAGUCAUUUUUUAAAAUUACCUAAACCACUCAUUCACAGCAUCUCAUCCCCAGACUUUCAUGUUCCCCCAAGGCUAAAGAAGAGCUUUGUAGAGACUUGGGAACAUGGAUAUGAAUAAAUGUACACAGGAGUUUGUAAACA